RNAcentral lists this ribosomal RNA (253 nucleotides) under uncultured bacterium. RNAcentral describes it as "partial 16S ribosomal RNA". It matches the Rfam family "Bacterial small subunit ribosomal RNA", at positions 524 to 776 of the family's 1533-position model. The record is from RNAcentral.
UACGUAGGGUGCGAGCGUUGUCCGGAAUUAUUGGGCGUAAAGAGCUUGUAGGCGGUUUGUCGCGUCUGCUGUGAAAUCUCAAGGCUCAACCUUGAGCUUGCAGUGGGUACGGGCAGACUAGAGUGUGGUAGGGGAGACUGGAAUUCCUGGUGUAGCGGUGAAAUGCGCAGAUAUCAGGAGGAACACCGGUGGCGAAGGCGGAUCUCUGGGCCAUUACUGACGCUGAGGAGCGAAAGCGUGGGGAGCGAACAGG